AGCUUUGCGCACAGGCAGUAUCGUAGCCAAUGAGGUUUAUCCGAGGCGCGAUUAUUGCUAACUGAAAACUUUUCACUUAGCACGAUAAUCUCUAGGUCCAUCCACAUCACUGCUAAUGGCAAAUUUCAUUCUUUUUUAAUG
This is a small nuclear RNA of Suricata suricatta (meerkat), 141 nucleotides long. Its record names the gene U4. It matches the Rfam family "U4 spliceosomal RNA". Rfam says of the family: U4 small nuclear RNA (U4 snRNA) is a component of the major U2-dependent spliceosome. The structure of U4 snRNA from yeast and human has been reported. U4 snRNA presents a k-turn RNA motif in the 5p-SL related to recognition of Snu13 protein. The record is from Ensembl. NCBI's taxonomy places the organism in Eukaryota, Metazoa, Chordata, Mammalia, Carnivora, Herpestidae.